AUACAAACAUAUGUUGGGGGGGUAUUUUUAUAAAUAUUAUUUUGUUUUACUUCUUUUUAACAUGCUAAUUUGUGAUUUGGUAGGAGAACAUUUAAAUACAAAGAUCCAAAAUUUGUUUAAGAGCUUUAUUACACUUUCUUUUCAGGUCUUAAACAGAACUAAAGUUACAUGGAAUAACCAAGCAAGUUAGGUUAUGCAUGGAUGUACAUGGAUGGCUACAUUUCAUUCAACAUGAUGCUUUAGAUUAGCAGAACUAGUGCUUGGAAUACUUCCAACAGGACAUUAUCUACAGAGAAAAAAAAUAUUGUUGCAGAUUAACUACAUGGAAAGUAGUACGAGUUGAACUUAGAGGCUUGCAAUUGCCAGGAAGGUGCUCUGCUACUCCAGCCACGCCUGUAGCCCUUCCAUUCUCUCUUAAUAAGAUCGAAGGGCACCAAGCACACCUUCGGACAUGGCAGCAUGUGGCGCAGCCUGGAGAGGGGAUACUUCCAUCACAGGGAGGGGAACAGUUUCAGCAACUUUUUGGCAUAUGGAGUCUGGCAUGGUUUAAUAGGAUCCAGGUACUAGAGACAUGCCUGUGCUAUUUCUGAUGCAGCAAUCCGGUCCCAUCACCUUUAAUGAGUGUGAAGCAAAGUUUUUGUACAAUGUCAGGC
Long non-coding RNA from Perognathus longimembris pacificus (Pacific pocket mouse), 653 nucleotides. RefSeq lists it as uncharacterized. The record is from RefSeq and is a predicted model, not a curated record. The transcript has 3 exons. NCBI's taxonomy places the organism in Eukaryota, Metazoa, Chordata, Mammalia, Rodentia, Heteromyidae.